Molecule: non-coding RNA, 106 nt
Filed under: Burkholderiales bacterium
Lineage: Bacteria; Pseudomonadati; Pseudomonadota; Betaproteobacteria; Burkholderiales
Description: Glycine sequence
Rfam family: Glycine riboswitch aptamer
About the family: This family represents the bacterial glycine riboswitch. Glycine riboswitches usually consist of two metabolite-binding aptamers domains with similar structures in tandem.
Source: RNAcentral
UCAACCGUUGUGGGAGAGACCGCGCGUGCCGGUUCGUGCCGGCGCGGCGCGGCGCCGAAGGUGUAUCGCCCCGGAAACUCUCAGGCAAAAGGACUGCAGCGGUUCG